UACGUAGGGUGCAAGCGUUAAUCGGAAUUACUGGGCGUAAAGCGUGCGCAGGCGGUUUUGUAAGACAGGGGGGAAAUCCCCGGGCUUAACCUGGGAACUGCACUUGUGACUGCAAGGCUGGAGUACGGCAGAGGGGGAUGGAAUUCCGCGUGUAGCAGUGAAAUGCGUAGAUAUGCGGAGGAACACCGAUGGCGAAGGCAGUCCCCUGGGCCGGUACUGACGCUCAUGCACGAAAGCGUGGGGAGCAAACAGG
RNAcentral lists this ribosomal RNA (253 nucleotides) under uncultured bacterium. RNAcentral's name for it is "partial 16S ribosomal RNA". It matches the Rfam family "Bacterial small subunit ribosomal RNA", at positions 524 to 776 of the family's 1533-position model. The record is from RNAcentral.